ACCUGGCUGGCGAUGGCUGCUGGAAGAGGAAGGGUUAAUGUGGCAAUGAUGUGACCCGGUAGGAUGUGAGCACCAUCCCUGUGGGACUGUGGCCUGUAAUUUCUUGGCAGAAGCCGUCCUCUCAGCGCUAAGGGAAGAAAAGCACCAGGCCGUUAACCAUAAAGGAAAAAUAAUACCGCACUCGGCAGAAAUCACAUCCAACUGGAGCCCGGUUUGUAAUCCUUCAUCCUUUCUGGGAGUCAGUCAGCUGCCGUGGACACCCCCACAGGAUGGAUCUUUUUCCAAGGCAACAAACGCUCAAUUCAUCGGGGAACUGGAGCCCGGCUCCCGUGCUGUUUCUUCGAGAUCCUUGAAAGGGUUGAAUACGAAUUGAAACCAAAGACAUAUUA
Molecule: non-coding RNA, 389 nt
Organism: Myodes glareolus (Bank vole)
Lineage: Eukaryota; Metazoa; Chordata; Mammalia; Rodentia; Cricetidae
Source: RefSeq, a predicted model, not a curated record